GGAGAGGUGGCAGAGCUCGGUUUAAUGCACCUGACUUGAAAUCAGACGUAGGGUCACACCGUACCGGGGGUUCGAAUCCCUCCCUCUCCGCCA
This 93-nucleotide transfer RNA is filed under the name Paraglaciecola agarilytica NO2. RNAcentral describes it as "tRNA-Ser". It matches the Rfam family "tRNA". Rfam says of the family: Transfer RNA (tRNA) molecules are approximately 80 nucleotides in length. Their secondary structure includes four short double-helical elements and three loops (D, anti-codon, and T loops). Lineage: Bacteria; Pseudomonadati; Pseudomonadota; Gammaproteobacteria; Alteromonadales; Alteromonadaceae. The record is from RNAcentral.